UAAGUGAAUAGUGAAAUCUGGCGGCUCAACCAUACAGACUAUUAUUCGAACUGUUUGACUCGAGAAUGGUAGAGGUAGCUGGAAUUUCUAGUGUAGGAGUGAAAUCCGUAGAUAUUAGAAGGAACACCGAUGGCGUAGGCAGGCUACUGGACCAUUUCUGACGCUGAGGCACGAAAGCGUGGGGAGCGAACCGGAUUAGAUACCCGGGUAGUCCACGCCGUAAACGAUGGAUACUA
Molecule: ribosomal RNA, 236 nt
Filed under: uncultured Candidatus Saccharibacteria bacterium
Lineage: Bacteria; Candidatus Saccharimonadota
Description: partial 16S ribosomal RNA
Rfam family: Bacterial small subunit ribosomal RNA
Source: RNAcentral